CUUGGAGACUGGCUCUCUGCCCACCAGGACAAGCUGCGAGGUCCCCCAGACCCUCUGCCCAGACCGGGGGUCUGCAACCUUAAACACUCAAAGAGCCAUUUGGCCGCUUCCCUUUUCAAAAGAAAACACCAGGAGCCACAAAACCUGGGUGGGCAUGGCCAACUCAACGUCACUCCCACCUAGUCUCAUGACACACACACCCCAGCCACACCUACCCAGGUUUUGUGGCUCCCUGUGUUUUCUGUGGGAAAUAGGUCUCUCGCUCUCGCUCUCUCCCCCUCCAUCCCUCCCUCUCAUUUCUGUUUUUCUCUUUUUCCUCCCCCUCCCCCUCUCCUUUCUUUCUUUCUUCCUUUCUUUCUCCCUUCUCUCAUUUAUUUCCCUCUCUCCCAUUCUCUCCCUCCAGCUCUCUCAUUUCUCUCCCUCUCCCCCUUUUCUCUCUCUCUCGUUUGUUUCUUUUUCCUCUCAUUCUCUCCAUCAUUUUCCCAUUUGUCUCCCUCUUUCUCCCCUUUUCUCUCUCUCAUUUCUCUUUCCCUCAUGUUUUUUUCUUUUUCCUCUCCCUCCCUCCCUCUUUCUUUCUUUCUCUUUCUUCUCUCUCUCAUUUGUUUCUCUCUUUUCCCUCUCUCUCAUUUUCUCCCUCCAUCAUUUUCUCAUUUCCCUCUCUUGCCCUAGCACCCCUGGGGUUUUCUCCGCACUACCCACAAUUGGCUGCUUUUUGCGAUUCCUUGUCCUUUGCGGGCAUCUCAGCGCCAGCCGCAGUCCCCUUUGUGUCAGCUCAGGAAGGGAGGAGAAGCUGCCGCCGCUGCCAAAUGCAGGGAGGGAAUUGCUCUGGCUCUCCUACGCAGCGCGGCCGGCUACUCACCUGUGCAUGCAAUGGUGGCAGUGGGAGGAGGAGUUGCCAUUACCACCGCCACGAUCCUGGGCCAGUAGGGUAUCCUGCUUGUGUGUGUGUGUGUGCACGCGCAAAAGAGAGAUGAGAAAGAGAAAAGGGAAGAAAAGGCUCCAGCAACCCUCCUCCUCCCCCUCCUUCUUGCAACCCCCUGGCCAGCUAUGGCAAGGCCAGGAGAACGUGCACAAGCAGGGAGACUCUCCUCAAGCAAGUGGCCGGGCUCGGCCAAAGCGCAACAAAGGUGUGCAUGGGACAGGUGGGUACUUGCUUGAGGAGGCUCUCUACACUUGUGUGUACCCUUCCGGCCUUGCCACAGCUGCCCAGUGGGUCACCACACACACAUAAACACACACACACACGGCUUUCAUUGAAAACAUCCUCCAAGCAGCGAAAGUCCCCUGUUCAUGUUUUAAAGCUGCAGCUGGGUGCUGCGGGCCUGUCCCCUUUCUGUCAUCCCAUCCUCCCGGAUCCCAUUCCAACCCUGUCAGCCCUUGUGUUAGCAAUGCCAGUGUCUUGUGGCGGAGAGCAGAUUGCGCGUCUCCCCAAGCUACCAAGGCACACCCAGCACCAAGGGCUGGAAGAAGCUCCAGCAAGAGUGAGGCACCGGAGAAUCUGCUCCAUCCACUUCUCCAUCCCUCAGCAUCACCGUUACCUUCUCAGGCCAAGUGAGGGCGACUGGGAGGGGAGGGCGAGGGGCGCCAGCCAAUGGUGGGAUCACCUGACAGAGCCACAGCAGAGGGCCCAAAGAGCCACAUGCAGCUCCGGAGCCACAGGUUGCCGACCCCCAGCCCAGACAAAGGAAGCUCAUUCAUUCAAACCUUUAUUGUUAGAGUACAACAUGUGUACAAUGAGAUUGGCUGAGCCUCCCUUCGUGCACCCCCAACAGCCCAAUACAACUCACAGUGAAAGACAGGGGGAAAAAAUCCCUAACCCAGUGCCAAAUUGUUGUUGUUAGUUGCAAAGUCAUGUCCGACCCAUCGCGACCCCAUGGACAAUGUUGUCCAUGGGGUCACAAUGGGUUGCGAUGAAGUAACCAAAUAGUUCCUAUUAUUUGUAUUUCUACUUGGAGAAGCACCAUAUUAUAGUGGUUAAGGCACUGGACUGGUUUGAAAUUUUUUAGUUUAGUGUAUCACGUGAACCCAGAAAAACAAGCGAGCAUAGCAGCCAGAUUAGCUGUGCUACUGACUAAAAACAUGAUUUAAACUGAUGACUGGAGGGGAAUUCACCUUAAGGAGAGCAGAGACCCCCAAAUGUUUCAGUAAAGCCACAAUUUCUAUUGCUGAUUUCCCAUUUCUUGUGGGAAGGGGAUGACAGUGACAAGCAUGCCUCUCCUGUACCAUGCAUAUAGCUCAAUGUCCCUGGCAGCGGAAGGGCCCACAUUGGCUACUGCUGCCACAUCCACUGGGCUCCAUCCCGCCCUGGACAAGGAGGGAUGCCAAGCCCCCAAACCUCUCACGCCCCCAGCCACGAGAGCAGCCACAGCUGUGGCCUACCUAAGGGCUGCCCACCAGGUGGCUCUGGCAAAGGCCUGGCCUGAUUGGCUACAGGGCUGCUUGUUCCGUCAGCCAAUCGGAUGCCUGAGGUUUCCGUUGGUUCCGCCCACUCGCGGCUGGCCCUCGCAAUGGUGCUGGAGCUGUACCUGGACCUGCUUUCCCAGCCUUGCAGGGCAGUCUACAUCUUCGCCAAAAAGAAUAACAUCCCAUUCAUGAUGAAGCCUGUUGAGAUGCUGAAAGGUGGAGUGGGGUGGAGUUCCCCUGCAAGCCCCCUUUUCUCCUGCCCCUCUCCUUCCCCCCGAUCUUCCCGAGGCUCCCUACCUGGGGAUCCCCUUAAGGCUCCCCACCACCUCCAGGAAGUUUCAGAGGUGAUCAGCAGGGCAUGAGGGACGUCUGCAGGCAUCUUCCCAGUUGGUAGAAACAGGCUUUGUGCCUUGACCAUGCUGGUGGGGGGGGGCAACAUUCUGUCCUCCCCAUGGAGCAGACUCUAGCUACCCCAUCCAGAGGCCGGCCCUGUCUGAGGCACCAGAGGGGCAGACAAGCCAUCGGGGGUCUUCCCGCCCUGAUGCUUUCACGGAGUCCUCUUGAGCACAGACAUCACAGUGGAAGCCAAAGAGAAAGGGCUUCCCCUCAGCACCUCUGGAAAGCCUGGAGGCUCUGGGAAGAGAAACAGUGGGAGGCGGCCCAUCUGAGAUUUGGGCCCUCAACCCAGCCGGAGCCCCUGCUACACCCCACUCCUGGCACCCAAGCUGCAAGCUCUUAGUUUUGGGGACUGAGCCCAGCUAAGGAGCGGAGGGGAGGGUUUGGGUUAAGGUUAAGGUUAGUUAGUUAAUUUUCUUUUUGGCUGACGUGGUUUAUUAAUGUUAGGGCAACACUUCACUGAGGAAUUUAACAAGGUGAACAUCCUAAGAAAAGUGCCUGUCCUGAAGGAUGGAGAUUUCAUCUUAGAAGAGAGCCAUCCUUCUCUACCUGACCCGGAAAUACAACACUCCCAGCUACUGGUACCCGCCCGAUAU
Ahaetulla prasina is the source of this 3395-nucleotide RNA transcript. It is a transcript of the gene named glutathione S-transferase theta-1-like, with no coding region annotated. The transcript has 2 exons. NCBI's taxonomy places the organism in Eukaryota, Metazoa, Chordata, Lepidosauria, Squamata, Colubridae. The record is from RefSeq and is a predicted model, not a curated record.